GGACCAAUACUGACGCUCAUGCAGCGAAAGCGUGGGGAGCAAACAGGAUUAGAUGGUAGUGGUAGUCCACGCCCUAUGAGUAUGUCAACUAGUUGUUGGGGAUUCAUUUCCUUAGUAACGUAACUAACGCGUGAAGUUGCCCGCGUGGGGAGUACGGUCGCAAGAUUAAAACUCAAAGGAACGGGGGGGGACCCGCACAAGCGGUGGAUGAUGUGGAUUAAUUCGAUGCAACGCGAAAAUCCUUACCUACCCCAUCCAUGGUCGGAAUCCUGAUGAGAGGUGGGAGUGCUCGAAAGAGAGCCGCAGCACAGGUACUGCAUGGCUGUCGUCAGCUCGUGUCGUGAGAUGUUGGGUUAAGUCCCGCAACGAGCGCAACCCUUGUCCUUAGUCAUACGCAAGAGCACUCUAAGGAGACUGCCGGUGACAAACCGGAGGAAGGUGGGGAUGACGUCAAGUCCUCAUGGCCCUUAUGGGUAGGGCUUCACACGUCAUACAAUGGUCGGAACAGAGGGUUCCAACCCGCGAGGGGGAGCUAAUCCCAGAAACCGUUCGUAGUCCGGAUUGCACUCUGCAACUCGAGUGCAUGAAGCUGGAAUCGCUAGUAAUCGCGGAUCAGCAUCCGCGGUAAUACGUUCCCGGGUCUUGUACACACCGCCCGUCACACCAGGGAGUGGGUUUCACCAGAAGUGGGUAGUCUACCUCAAGGAGCCAGUCACCACG
Molecule: ribosomal RNA, 720 nt
Filed under: Burkholderia cenocepacia
Lineage: Bacteria; Pseudomonadati; Pseudomonadota; Betaproteobacteria; Burkholderiales; Burkholderiaceae
Description: bacterial SSU rRNA
Rfam family: Bacterial small subunit ribosomal RNA
Source: RNAcentral